UGGGGAAUAUUGCACAAUGGGCGCAAGCCUGAUGCAGCCAUGCCGCGUGUGUGAAGAAGGCCUUCGGGUUGUAAAGCACUUUCAGCGGGGAGGAAGGCGGUGAGGUUAAUAACCUCAUCGAUUGACGUUACCCGCAGAAGAAGCACCGGCUAACUCCGUGCCAGCGGCCGCGGUAAUACGGAGGGUGCAAGCGUUAAUCGGAAUUACUGGGCGUAAAGCGCACGCAGGCGGUCUGUCAAGUCGGAUGUGAAAUCCCCGGGCUCAACCUGGGAACUGCAUUCGAAACUGGCAGGCUAGAGUCUUGUAGAGGGGGGUAGAAUUCCAGGUGUAGCGGUGAAAUGCGUAGAGAUCUGGAGGAAUACCGGUGGCGAAGGCGGCCCCCUGGACAAAGACUGACGCUCAGGUGCGAAAGCGUGGGGAGCAAACAGG
This 429-nucleotide ribosomal RNA is filed under the name Chloroflexota bacterium. RNAcentral's name for it is "Chloroflexi bacterium partial 16S ribosomal RNA". It matches the Rfam family "Bacterial small subunit ribosomal RNA", at positions 355 to 776 of the family's 1533-position model. The record is from RNAcentral. Lineage: Bacteria; Bacillati; Chloroflexota.